Molecule: ribosomal RNA, 253 nt
Filed under: uncultured bacterium
Lineage: Bacteria
Description: partial 16S ribosomal RNA
Rfam family: Bacterial small subunit ribosomal RNA
Source: RNAcentral
UACGUAGGUGGCAAGCGUUGUCCGGAUUUAUUGGGCGUAAAGGGGGCGCAGACGGCGAUGCAAGCCAGGAGUGAAAGCCCGGGGCCCAACCCCGGGACUGCUCUUGGAACUGCGUGGCUGGAGUGCAGGAGGGGCAGGCGGAAUUCCUGGUGUAGCGGUGAAAUGCGUAGAUAUCAGGAGGAACACCGGUGGCGAAGGCGGCCUGCUGGACUGCAACUGACGUUGAGGCCCGAAAGCGUGGGGAGCAAACAGG